RNAcentral lists this ribosomal RNA (2901 nucleotides) under Enterobacter cloacae. Its description in RNAcentral is "23S ribosomal RNA". It matches the Rfam family "Bacterial large subunit ribosomal RNA". Lineage: Bacteria; Pseudomonadati; Pseudomonadota; Gammaproteobacteria; Enterobacterales; Enterobacteriaceae. The record is from RNAcentral.
UUAAGCGACUAAGCGUACACGGUGGAUGCCCUGGCAGUCAGAGGCGAUGAAGGACGUGCUAAUCUGCGAAAAGCGCCGGCGAGGUGAUAUGAACCUUUGACCCGGCGAUGUCCGAAUGGGGAAACCCAGUGCAAUUCGUUGCACUAUCGUUAACUGAAUACAUAGGUUAACGAGGCGAACCGGGGGAACUGAAACAUCUAAGUACCCCGAGGAAAAGAAAUCAACCGAGAUUCCCCCAGUAGCGGCGAGCGAACGGGGAGCAGCCCAGAGUCUGAAUCAGCUUGUGUGUUAGUGGAAGCGUCUGGAAAGUCGCACGGUACAGGGUGACAGUCCCGUACACGAAAGCACACAGGUUGUGAACUCGAAGAGUAGGGCGGGACACGUGGUAUCCUGUCUGAAUAUGGGGGGACCAUCCUCCAAGGCUAAAUACUCCUGACUGACCGAUAGUGAACCAGUACCGUGAGGGAAAGGCGAAAAGAACCCCGGCGAGGGGAGUGAAAAAGAACCUGAAACCGUGUACGUACAAGCAGUGGGAGCACCUUCGUGGUGUGACUGCGUACCUUUUGUAUAAUGGGUCAGCGACUUAUAUUCUGUAGCAAGGUUAACCGUAUAGGGGAGCCGAAGGGAAACCGAGUCUUAACUGGGCGUUAAGUUGCAGGGUAUAGACCCGAAACCCGGUGAUCUAGCCAUGGGCAGGUUGAAGGUUGGGUAACACUAACUGGAGGACCGAACCGACUAAUGUUGAAAAAUUAGCGGAUGACUUGUGGCUGGGGGUGAAAGGCCAAUCAAACCGGGAGAUAGCUGGUUCUCCCCGAAAGCUAUUUAGGUAGCGCCUCGUGAACUCAUCUUCGGGGUAGAGCACUGUUUCGGCUAGGGGGCCAUCCCGGCUUACCAACCCGAUGCAAACUACGAAUACCGAAGAAUGUUAUCACGGGAGACACACGGCGGGUGCUAACGUCCGUCGUGAAGAGGGAAACAACCCAGACCGCCAGCUAAGGUCCCAAAGUCAUGGUUAAGUGGGAAACGAUGUGGGAAGGCACAGACAGCCAGGAUGUUGGCUUAGAAGCAGCCAUCAUUUAAAGAAAGCGUAAUAGCUCACUGGUCGAGUCGGCCUGCGCGGAAGAUGUAACGGGGCUAAACCAUGCACCGAAGCUGCGGCAGCGACGCUUAUGCGUUGUUGGGUAGGGGAGCGUUCUGUAAGCCGUUGAAGGUGUGCUGUGAGGCAUGCUGGAGGUAUCAGAAGUGCGAAUGCUGACAUAAGUAACGAUAAAGCGGGUGAAAAGCCCGCUCGCCGGAAGACCAAGGGUUCCUGUCCAACGUUAAUCGGGGCAGGGUGAGUCGACCCCUAAGGCGAGGCCGAAAGGCGUAGUCGAUGGGAAACAGGUUAAUAUUCCUGUACUUGGUGUUACUGCGAAGGGGGGACGGAGAAGGCUAUGUUAGCCGGGCGACGGUUGUCCCGGUUUAAGCAUGUAGGCGGAGGUUCCAGGUAAAUCCGGUACCUUUUAACGCUGAGGUGUGAUGACGAGGCACUACGGUGCUGAAGUAACAAAUGCCCUGCUUCCAGGAAAAGCCUCUAAGCAUCAGGUAACAUCAAAUCGUACCCCAAACCGACACAGGUGGUCAGGUAGAGAAUACCAAGGCGCUUGAGAGAACUCGGGUGAAGGAACUAGGCAAAAUGGUGCCGUAACUUCGGGAGAAGGCACGCUGAUAUGUAGGUGAAGCCCCUGCGGGUGGAGCUGAAAUCAGUCGAAGAUACCAGCUGGCUGCAACUGUUUAUUAAAAACACAGCACUGUGCAAACACGAAAGUGGACGUAUACGGUGUGACGCCUGCCCGGUGCCGGAAGGUUAAUUGAUGGGGUUAGCGGUAACGCGAAGCUCUUGAUCGAAGCCCCGGUAAACGGCGGCCGUAACUAUAACGGUCCUAAGGUAGCGAAAUUCCUUGUCGGGUAAGUUCCGACCUGCACGAAUGGCGUAAUGAUGGCCAGGCUGUCUCCACCCGAGACUCAGUGAAAUUGAACUCGCUGUGAAGAUGCAGUGUACCCGCGGCAAGACGGAAAGACCCCGUGAACCUUUACUAUAGCUUGACACUGAACACUGGUCCUUGAUGUGUAGGAUAGGUGGGAGGCUUUGAAGCGUGGACGCCAGUCUGCGUGGAGCCGACCUUGAAAUACCACCCUUUAAUGGCUGGUGUUCUAACGUAGACCCGUAAUCCGGGUUGCGGACAGUGUCUGGUGGGUAGUUUGACUGGGGCGGUCUCCUCCCAAAGAGUAACGGAGGAGCACGAAGGUUAGCUAAUCCUGGUCGGACAUCAGGAGGUUAGUGCAAUGGCAUAAGCUAGCUUGACUGCGAGAGUGACGGCUCGAGCAGGUGCGAAAGCAGGUCAUAGUGAUCCGGUGGUUCUGAAUGGAAGGGCCAUCGCUCAACGGAUAAAAGGUACUCCGGGGAUAACAGGCUGAUACCGCCCAAGAGUUCAUAUCGACGGCGGUGUUUGGCACCUCGAUGUCGGCUCAUCACAUCCUGGGGCUGAAGUAGGUCCCAAGGGUAUGGCUGUUCGCCAUUUAAAGUGGUACGCGAGCUGGGUUUAGAACGUCGUGAGACAGUUCGGUCCCUAUCUGCCGUGGGCGCUGGAGAAUUGAGGGGGGCUGCUCCUAGUACGAGAGGACCGGAGUGGACGCAUCACUGGUGUUCGGGUUGUCAUGCCAAUGGCACUGCCCGGUAGCUAAAUGCGGAAAAGAUAAGUGCUGAAAGCAUCUAAGCACGAAACUUGCCCCGAGAUGAGUUCUCCCUGACCCUUUAAGGGUCCUGAAGGAACGUUGAAGACUACGACGUUGAUAGGUCGGGUGUGUAAGCGCAGCGAUGCGUUGAGCUAACCGAUACUAAUGAACCGUGAGGCUUAACCU